AGUACCUACGGGGGGCAGCAGUGAGGAAUAUUGGUCAAUGGGCGGGAGCCUGAACCAGCCAAGCCGCGUGAAGGAAGAAGGCGCCAGGCGUCGUAAACUUCUUUUGUCGGGGAGCAAAGCGAACCACGUGUGGUUCAUUGAGAGUACCCGAAGAAAAAGCAUCGGCUAACUCCGUGCCAGCAGCCGCGGUAAUACGGAGGAUGCGAGCGUUAUCCGGAUUUAUUGGGUUUAAAGGGUGCGCAGGCGGAGGUGCAAGUCAGCGGUCAAAUUGC
RNAcentral lists this ribosomal RNA (272 nucleotides) under uncultured bacterium. RNAcentral describes it as "partial 16S ribosomal RNA". It matches the Rfam family "Bacterial small subunit ribosomal RNA", at positions 334 to 603 of the family's 1533-position model. The record is from RNAcentral.